GUACCAUAACCGACACAGGUGGGUAAGUAGAGUAUACUAAGGGGCGCGAGAUAACUCUCUCUAAGGAACUCGGCAAAAUAACUCCGUAACUUCGGGAGAAGGAGUGCCUUAUUCUUAAGGUUGCAAUAACAAGAUCCAAGCAACUGUUUAUCAAAAACACAGGUCUCCGCUAAGUCGUAAGACGAUGUAUGGGGGCUGACGCCUGCCCAGUGCCAGAAGGUUAAAGAAGUCGGUUAGCAAUAGCAAAGCUGGUAACUGAAGCCCUGGUGAACGGCGGCCGUAACUAUAACGGUCCUAAGGUAGCGAAAUUCCUUGUCGGGUAAGUUCCGACCCGCACGAAAGGCGUAAUGAUUUGGAUGCUGUCUCGGAGAGGGGCUCGGUGAAAUAGACUUGUCUGUGAAGAUGCGGACUACCUGCACCAGGACAGAAAGACCCUAUGAAGCUUUACUGUAACUUGAAAUUGAAAUUGGACUUUAUUCGCGCAGUAUAGGUGGGAGGCGUUGAUUAUAAUCUUGUGGGAUUAUUGGAGCCAUCAGUGAGAUACCACUCUUGUAAUGUUAGAUUUCUAACUUUGAAUCAUUAUCUGGUCAAAGGACAGUUUCAGGCGGGCAGUUUGACUGGGGCGGUCGCCUCCUAAACGGUAACGGAGGCGUACAAAGGUUUCCUCUGAACGGCUAGAAAUCGUAUCUAGAGUGUAAAGGCAUGAGGAAGCUUGACUGUGAGACCUACAAGUCGAGCAGGGACGAAAGUCGGUCUUAGUGAUCUGACGGUACUGAGUGGAAAGGCCGUCACUCAACGGAUAAAAGUUACUCUAAGGAUAACAGGCUGAUCUCCCCCAAGAGUUCACAUCGACGGGGAGGUUUGGCACCUCGAUGUCGGCUCAUCGCAUCCUGGGGCGGUAGUACGUCCCAAGGGUUGGGCUGUUCGCCCAUGAAAGCGGUACGCGAGCUGGGUUCAGAACGUCGUGAGACAGUUCGGUCCAUAUCCGGUGUAGGCGCUAGAAUAUUGAGAGGAGCCUUCUUUAGUACGAGAGGACCGAGAAGGACAUACCUCUGGUGUACCAGUUAUCGUGCCAACGGUAAACGCUGGGUAGCUAUGUAUGGAGUGGAUAACCGCUGAAAGCAUCUAAGUGGGAAGCCCACCUCAAGAUAAGUAUUCUCAUCACGUAAGUGAGUAAGGUCACGGUAAGACUAACCGUUUGAUAGGCAUUAAGUGUAAGUACAGUAAUGUAUGUGCUGAGAUGUCCUAAUAGACCGAGGACUUGA
This 1265-nucleotide ribosomal RNA is filed under the name metagenome. Its description in RNAcentral is "bacterial LSU rRNA". It matches the Rfam family "Bacterial large subunit ribosomal RNA", at positions 1644 to 2925 of the family's 2925-position model. The record is from RNAcentral.